CCCCCCCCUUUUUUUAAAAACGGGGGAGCCCUUUGUAGUGGAGAAUAAAAAGGGGAGAUGCGAGUAUGAAACGCCCGCCUGGAAAAGAGAGGGGAGAGUGAUGUGGGGGGAAGUGUUUUUUAAAAAAAAAACGACGAGUCCAAGUCCACCGCGACGGGGGCCACCGCCCAUAGAGGGUGAUAGGCCCGUAAGGCCGUUGUUUUUUUUCGCUGACUUCUUUUUUUCCCUAGAGUCGAGUUGCUUGGGAGUGCAGCUCAAAGUGCGUGGUAAGCUCCACGUAAAGCUAAAUAUUACCCCGAGACCGAUAGCAAACAAGUACCGUGGGGGAAAGUUGAAAAGAACUUUGAAGAGAGAGUUCAAGAGUACGUGAAACAGUGUAGUGGUAAACGGAGGGGUUCUCGAAGUAUGAGAUCUGAGGUUCAGACUGACGAUUCUUCUCGCUCUUUUUUUCUCUUAUAUCAGCAAUGACUAGUGAGAGAAGGGUAUUUGUUGAGGAAUUUGACGGUUGCAUUUUUCAGUCUCUUCACACCACGAACCGCUGUUAUUGAACUGGGGACUUUUUAGGAGAAGUUCAUGAGAAAAGAAAAAAUAAGGGAGUAAUUCAUUUUUUUUUUUUCUUUUGUGAGGGCCCCCCUAGGGUUUUAGCUUCAAAGACGGCUGUUUUUUAAAGAAGCUCGUUAUAACAAGAGUUUCUAUAAUUUAAAGAAGACACGGUGGAUGCUACGUAAACAGAGGGAU
Molecule: ribosomal RNA, 738 nt
Filed under: Lernaeopodidae gen. 2 sp. 2 MMM-2016
Lineage: Eukaryota; Metazoa; Arthropoda; Copepoda; Siphonostomatoida; Lernaeopodidae
Description: partial 28S ribosomal RNA
Rfam family: Eukaryotic large subunit ribosomal RNA
Source: RNAcentral